RNAcentral lists this ribosomal RNA (380 nucleotides) under uncultured eukaryote. RNAcentral's name for it is "partial 18S ribosomal RNA". It matches the Rfam family "Eukaryotic small subunit ribosomal RNA", at positions 592 to 976 of the family's 1831-position model. The record is from RNAcentral.
CAAUAGCGUAUAUUAAAGUUGUUGCGGUUAAAAAGCUCGUAGUUGGAUUUCUGCCGAGGACGACCGGUCCGCCCUCUGGGUGUGUAUCUGGUUUGGCCUGGGCAUCUUCUUGGAGAACGUAGCUGCACUUGACUGUGUGGUGCGGUGUCCAGGACUUUUACUUUGAGGAAAUUAGAGUGUUUCAAGCAGGCACACGCCUUGAAUACAUUAGCAUGGAAUAAUAAGAUAGGACCUCGGUUCUAUUUUGUUGGUUUCUAGAGCUGAGGUAAUGAUUAAUAGGGAUAGUUGGGGGCAUUCGUAUUUCAUUGUCAGAGGUGAAAUUCUUGGAUUUAUGAAAGACGAACUUCUGCGAAAGCAUUUGCCAAGGAUGUUUUCAUUAA